Molecule: ribosomal RNA, 2187 nt
Filed under: Triticum aestivum (bread wheat)
Lineage: Eukaryota; Viridiplantae; Streptophyta; Magnoliopsida; Poales; Poaceae
Description: partial small subunit ribosomal RNA
Source: RNAcentral
AUGCUCUCCAGGUCCAGACCUUUCGCCUUGCGCAGACCAAGACCACCGGCUACCCCCGCAACCGCAAGCAGGCUCUCACCGCGGCACUCGUCGACCCAGCCUGACGAAAAUGCGGCCGUCACCGCGCAGAAUAUGCGGCUCACGGCUCUGCUCAGUAGCGGCGACACCGUGGCCGCGCGCAGGCUGUUCGACGGAAUGCCGCGCCGGACUGUGGUCACCUGGAACGCCAUGGUCGCGGGCCACGCGCGGCGCGGGAGCGUACUGGACGCGCUCGACGCUGCCACGCGCAUGCACCGCUCGGGGGUCAGCCCCAGCGAGGCCACCUUCGCGUCGGUGCUUGGCGCCUGUGCCCGCGGCCGCCUCCUUCGAGUCGGGGCACAGGUGCACUGCCAGGUGAUCAAGUCCGGGUCUGAGAGCCUCGAGGUCGUGGGGCCCUCUCUUCUCGACUUCUACUCCUCGUGCUUCGAUCUGCGCGCAUCUCACACGCUCUUCGAUUCCCUUCAUCCGAGGAAUGAGCGAAUGUGGAGCCCGAUGGUCGUCGCGCUUGUGAGGUUCAACCUGCCGGGUGACGCCCUGGAUCUUCUCGAGAGGAUGCCUGCGCCUCGUGACGUGUUUGCGUGGACCGCUGUUAUAUCGGGCCAUGCACGAGGAGCGGGUGAGUGCUGUCGCAAGGCGAUUUGGUUAUUUGUUCAGAUGUUGGCCGAUGAUGGAGUGAGGCCGAAUGAAUUCACUUUCGACAGUGUUUUGAGGGCAUGCGUAAAGAUGGGAGCGUUGGAUUUUGGGAGAUCGGUUCAUAGCUGUUUGAUUCGAAGUGGGUUUGAUACCGACAAGUUAAUCACCAGUGCUCUUGUGGAUCUUUACUGCAGUUCUGAUGCUGUGGGUGAUGCCUUGCUGGUUUACAGUGACCUGGAAAACCCGUCCUUGAUCACAUCCAAUGCAUUGAUCGGGGGGCUUAUAUCAAUGCACAGGACGGAGGAAGCAAAGAUAGUUUUCUUGAAGAUGUCAGAGCACGAUUCGGGUUCGUACAAUCUGAUGAUUAAACUGUAUGGUAUUGAAGGGAGACUAGAUGAUUGUCAGAGGAUGUUUGAAAAGAUGCCUCGGAGAAAUAUCGUGACCUUAAACUCCAUGAUGUCAGUUCUUCUACAGAAUGGGAAGUUGGAGGAUGGACUGAAGCUAUUUGAGCAAAUUAAGGAUGAAGGAAACACGAUAACAUGGAAUUCUAUGAUUUCUGGUUACGUUCAGAAUGAUCAUCCUUCAGGAGCUCUAAAACUAUUUGUGGUCAUGUGUCGAUUGCCAAUUGUAUGCAGCCCGUCAACAUUCCCUGCUCUAUUGCACGCCUGUGCUGCUGUUGGAACCAUUGAGCAAGGCAAAAUGGUUCAUGCUCACCUCUGCAAGACUCCAUUCGAGUCCAAUAGUUAUGUUGGGACAGCUCUUGUGGAUAUGUACUUGAAAUGUGGGUGUGUCGGUGAUGCACGUAGCGCAUUUUGUUGCAUUGCGUCACCAAAUGUCGCUUCUUGGACAUCGCUCAUCAAUGGGCUUGCGCAGAAUGGUCAAUGGCUGGAAGCUGUAGUAGAAUUUGGGAGGAUGUUGAAGCAUCAUAUCAAUCCCAAUGAAAUCACUUUUUUGGGCCUCCUUAUGGCUAGUGCUCGUGCUGGUUUAGUUAACAAGGGGAUGAGGUUCUUCCACUCUAUGGAGAGCUAUGGACUAGUACCAACUGUCGAGCAUUAUACCUGUGCUGUCGAUCUUCUCGGUCGGACUGGACGCAUCAGAGAAGCUGAGAAGUUCAUCUCUGAAAUGCCUGUACCAGCAGAUAAGGUGGUAUGGGGAGCCCUACUCACUGCCUGCUGGUAUUCAAUGGACCUGGAGAUGGGUGAGAAAGUUGCUGAAAAGUUGCUUUGCAUGGGCACAGAGCAUAUAUCUGCCUAUGUUGCCAUGUCUAAUAUCUAUGCUAAAUUGGGGAAGUGGGAAGAUGUUGUGAAGGUAAGAACAAGAUUGAGAAGUCUCGAUGUGAAAAAGGAACCAGGGUGCAGUUGGAUUGAACUGAAAGAUAUAGUUCAUGUAUUCCUCGUGGAAGACCGGAAUCAUCCAGAGAGAGAUGAAUUAUACGUGAUGCUAGAGAAUUUAGUUUAUAAUAUAUCGUUGCAUUCUGAACCUGAUGAAGAUUUAUAUUGGUUAUCUGGAGCUUGA